This 728-nucleotide small RNA is filed under the name Pongo abelii (Sumatran orangutan). RNAcentral's name for it is "processed transcript". Lineage: Eukaryota; Metazoa; Chordata; Mammalia; Primates; Hominidae. The record is from RNAcentral.
GUCACUGUAAAUUCAGGAGUCAUGAAUCUGGUACUAAUUUUUUCCUUUCAAGCUCUUGGAAUACCCUUUCAUGCCAAAUUGUGAGUCCUGUCUUAUAUCCAGACACGGCGAUGACUUGAUUGUAACUCCUUUUGCCCAGGUCCUUGCCAGCUUGCGAAGUGUGAGAAACAACUUCACUAUACUGACAAACCUUCAUGGUACAUCUAACAAGAGGUCCCCAGCUGCUAGUCAGCCUUCUGUCUCCAGAGUCAACCCACAAGGACAGUGCAUCCACUUUUCUUGGUGUGUUGAGAGCUGCAGAGAGGAAGGGCCACCUUGAAGGAACAUCAUGGAGUUCUGUUGAACUGAAAUUCUUCUUCACACAAAAUGCAACCAGUUCUAUGAUAUUUGUUAAAAUCCAAAUAAUGUUUUCUCCUAAAUCUGUUCCCUACUAUUGUUAGCAGUAGAUUUGAGAAAAACCACAGGAGAAACAAUUAAGAUGAACUCACACUGAGAUCACCUAACACCUGACACCUAACAAUUCCUCACACGCUUUUCUAUUUCCAGCAGCACUUCAUACUUAAAAUCUUUCUCACUUGGUUGUUGUGUUUUCUUUCUGGUAUCCUGAUCAUAAGUAUAACAGAAGUAUUACAAAAGCUUAGCUUCUAAAAGAAGGGAACAAAAGCAGCAGAUUCUAUUGGCUCAUUGGCUUCUGAAGUAUUUGUGGUGCACGCUUUUUAAAAUAUUUU